GGAUUUUGAGGGCUUUUCCCGGGGAGAGAUGAGGAGAGAAGACACAAAUGGAGAGAGUUGGUAGACCACUGGAUGGAGUGGACUUGGAGCGAGGGUCCGAAGAUACUGCCGGAGCUGCUGAAAACCAGCCUCAUGACAAUGAGUGAAGGACUGCAUUGUCUACUUAUGCUGAAUGCAGAAACAUUUAGUGAUGAGUUCAGUGGCUUCAGAAUCAAAGUGUUUGCUUCCAUCUUCAUCAUAACCUGCCUUGACUGGUAGAUCUUGGAGUAGAGUGUCUAUUUCAGGAGUUUUGCAUGAAGCUUAUGAACCACAUGUCCUGCCCAGUAUAGACAACUGAAAGUAAGUUGGCCCCAGUGCAAGGGAUGUUGGACUGAGAGUGGAUGCUGACAUUGGUUCACAUCUCCUUCCCCUGAGUCUGAGAGAAUGCAUGUUAUGACAAGAAUAAUGUGAACUCUUGGAAUGAUCUGAAGGCAGAUUAAAGUCUUCAGCUACCGUGAACUUCCCUUCUGUGACCUUCAUUACACCCAAUAAGUUUGUAUGGAUAUAAAAUGGUGGCGCAGCUAGUAGAACCACUCCUCCAAAACACCAGAGACAAGGGUUCAGUCAUGUGUUCCUGUGACCUUGAGGGCUUCCUCCAUGUGCUCUGAUUUCAUCCUAAAUCCCGAUGUCAUGUGGGUUGAUGCCGGGGCGUCAUGGUAAUGUAGUGGUUAGCACAAUCACUUUACAGCGCCAGUGAUUACUGAUCAGGGUUCGAUUCUGGCCAUUCUAUGCAAGGAGUCUGUACAUUCUCCUAGUGACUACAUGGGUUUCCUCCGGAUGAUUCAGUUUCCUUCGAGAUUCCAAAGGUGUACGGUUAGGAUUAUUUUUGGUGACUUGGGCGCAUUCUCUGUUGGUGCCGGAAGCAUGGUGACACUUGCGGGCUGCCCCCAGCACAAUACUCGGACUGUGUUUAUAGCUGAUGCAAAACGAUGCAGUUCACUGUCUGUUUCAAUAUGUCAAUGGUACAUGUGACAA
Molecule: long non-coding RNA, 1014 nt
Organism: Mobula hypostoma (lesser devil ray)
Lineage: Eukaryota; Metazoa; Chordata; Chondrichthyes; Myliobatiformes; Myliobatidae
Exons: 6
Source: RefSeq, a predicted model, not a curated record